RNAcentral lists this ribosomal RNA (544 nucleotides) under Cassiopea xamachana. RNAcentral describes it as "partial large subunit ribosomal RNA". It matches the Rfam family "Bacterial large subunit ribosomal RNA", at positions 1892 to 2574 of the family's 2925-position model. The record is from RNAcentral. Lineage: Eukaryota; Metazoa; Cnidaria; Scyphozoa; Rhizostomeae; Cassiopeidae.
AUGGCUACAAAUAAACAAUAAUAGUAGUUAAAUAGCCGCGGUAACUCUGACCGUGAUAAAGUAGCAUAAUCACUCGUCAUUUAAUUGGUGACUAGAAUGAAUGGUUUUACGAAUUUCCAACUGUCUCAGUAAUAAAAUUAAUGAAAUUAAACCAAUAGUGAAGAUGCUAUUUAUAAAUUGUAAGACGAAAAGACCCUAUCAAGCUUUACUAAACGCUUAAAUAAAUAAAUACUACAAAAUAUUUUAGGACAAAAAUAUUUAAGCUAAUUAGUUUGGUUGGGGCGACCACCUCUAAAAAAGUAUCAGAGGAGAUCUAACGGUUAAUAUUAAUAUAAAAAAGCCUAACUGCAUAUAAAUACAUUAAUCAGUUACAACAAGUAGGAUAUAAUGACCCGUUGGGACUAUCUAAACACCUAACGAUUACAAAAAAAGUUACCGUAGGGAUAACAGGGUAAUAUUCUCGAAGAGUUCUUAUCGAUGAGAAUGUUUGCCACCUCGAUGUUGAAUUAUGAUAUCCUAAAGGUGCAAAAGCUUUUAAGGGUUG